UUGCAGAGCAGCCACAGCCGAAACCCUCUCUUCCCCAACCCUCUUUCUCUUUAUUCCUCUAUCUGCAGUUUCUCAAUCUCUGCUCUUCUUUCAAUCUAUAUAUCUCGAUUUCUUCUUUUAUUUCUCAUUUAGAAUUUGAUUUGUUUUUGAUUCAUGGUAUUUAUUGGAAACGAUGAAGAACACCUAAAACCCAGAAUACAGACUCUUCUCCAAACAUCUUCAUUGGUUGAAGAUGAUCAAGAUCUGGGUUAUAUGGGGUUUAACUGACUAGCAGAAUGAGGAUGAGACACUGGCUGAGGAGCAAAAUGAACAGGAAAUGGGCCUGAGUGACAGUGAUGAUGGUAACAAGAAGGUAUGCUGAAGAGACAUGCUGAAGUUGCUAACAAGAAGGCUCCCCCUGGUGACCUCAAAAGUCAGUUGGUGUAGAGAUAUGGUGAAUUUGGGUGAAAUAUAAUUGAGCCUAUCUACUGUUAUGUCUAAUGCGGCAUUAAGUGUGAAAUUUUUAUUUACGUUACUUUUUGGUGUAAAAAAGUUUAAUUAUCACUCUGCUUAGUUAUUUUAUUUUUAGAUAUUUCUUCUCACUGCCGUGGAAGUGUUACUGGUACAGUUAGUGGCGGAAAUCAUCCACAACAAACACAACUUCAGAUGGGAAUCCCAUUCUGUUGUUUAAUGUAAAAUCGCCAAAUGGAUUAAUGACAGGGCGGGUAAAAAAAGUAUAACAUGUGAAUGCUUCACAUUGUUUACCGUGUUGGAGACUUGGACAAGACCAUAAAAUUCUACACGGAGUGCCUUGGGGUGAAGCUGCUAACAUGAUAUACUUGAAUAGAGAUACACAAAUGCUUUUCUUGGUUACGGUCCUAAAGAUUCACAUUAUGUGGUUGAGCUCACUUAUAGUUAUGGGGUCGACAAGUAUGAUAUCGGAAAUGGUUUCGAUCAUUUUGGUAUAGCAGUUGAGGAUGUAACUUUAUCUUGCAUAAAGUACAUUAUUUCUCAGUUAUUUGCAUAUUAUCUACGACAUAUGCUGCAAAGGUGGCAGUACUGUAAUUGCGUUUAUUGAAGAUCCAGAUGGUUACAAGUUUGAGCUUUAGAGAGGGGACCUACGCCAGAGCCCCUGUGCCAAGUAAUGCUUCGUGUAGGUGAUCUUGACCGCGCCCUAAGUUACUAUGAGAAGCGGCUGUGAACUUCUUGGCAUAUGUUCCAGUACAACACUUUGAUGGAGGGAUGGUCAACAAUUUGAGUCAUGGGAGGCUCACUAGUAUGCAGUACAAGCAGCUAUCAAGCCACAAAAAGACUUAUUAAUGGUACAAUAUUUCUUCUGCUAAUGGGUGUCCUUAACUGAAAGCUGCUUGCUAAGAAAUCCAAUUCUUUACCUUUAGCCAAAUGAACGAAGCUUUCACAUGCGUACACAAAGCACAGGGCAUCCGUCUUUCUUCCUUCCAUUCCAUGAGCACGAGUACUAAGGGUCCCUUGAUGGAAGAACUUAAAGUUAUUUGGAGCAGAGGUAUUCAUACAGUAUUUCAUCUUAACUAAACAGUAUGGGCAGGUACUUCAUGUAUUUGUAUUUCAGUUAUUAUUUUUUUCUUAGAGACAUCCAACAAUGUAGAGUCCAUUUUCCCUUUGAAACAUUUUGUAAGAUCCCUUGAUGUAAUGUUAAGUUAAUACAUAU
This is a long non-coding RNA of Papaver somniferum (opium poppy), 1666 nucleotides long. RefSeq lists it as uncharacterized. Lineage: Eukaryota; Viridiplantae; Streptophyta; Magnoliopsida; Ranunculales; Papaveraceae. The record is from RefSeq and is a predicted model, not a curated record. The transcript has 11 exons.